GGGGACGUUUUGGAUUUGACAGGAUGUUUGGUGAAAAUAGGUUGCGGGUCCGGGCGCUGUUCCCGGUAAUCAACGAGCAAAACAAAUUAAAUGCUAAAAAUAAUGUAAUCGAAGCUGACUUCUCUAGAGCUUACGCUUUAGCUGCUUAGUCCUUUGACGAAUAGCUACUUAUAGAACCCAGCUUGCCGGUUUUAUAGGUCAAUGAUGCAAGACGCAGUACACUAACAGAAGGUAAGUGUAUCAAGAUAACCUUCAAGGGUUUAGAGUUUCCCUGCCAAAUAAAACCUAGGGCUAAUUCAACGGUUUUGAUACUUCCCGGGAUUAGUUGAGCUGAUAAGUACCUACACUCGUAGAGAUUUAUUUUGAUCCAUUUUGGACGUGGGUUCGACUCCCACCGUCUCCA
Molecule: transfer-messenger RNA, 403 nt
Filed under: human gut metagenome
Rfam family: transfer-messenger RNA
About the family: Bacterial tmRNA, also known as 10Sa RNA or SsrA, is named for its dual tRNA and mRNA-like properties. Its role is to liberate the mRNA from a stalled ribosome. To accomplish this part of the tmRNA is used as a reading frame that ends in a translation stop signal.
Source: RNAcentral